CGGGACGGGGUGGAGUAAUGUCUGGGAAACGUGCCUGAUGGAGGGGGAUAACUACUGGAAACGGUAGCUAAUACCGCAUAACGUCGCAAGACCAAAGAGGGGGACCGUUCGGGCCUCUUGCCAUCGGAUGUGCCCAGAUGGGAUUAGCUAGUAGGUGGGGUAACGGCUCACCUAGGCGACGAUCCCUAGCUGGCCUGAGAGGAUGACCAGCCACACUGGAACUGAGACACGGUCCAG
This 237-nucleotide ribosomal RNA is filed under the name uncultured bacterium. RNAcentral's name for it is "partial 16S ribosomal RNA". It matches the Rfam family "Bacterial small subunit ribosomal RNA", at positions 104 to 334 of the family's 1533-position model. The record is from RNAcentral.